GGGGGGGGGGGGGGGGGUGGGGUGGAGGGGCGGGGCGGACGGCAGUGCGGGGUUGGGCCUGGCGGCGAGUGGCGAACGGGUUAGUAAUACAUCGGAACGUGCCCGGUAGUGGGGGCUAGCUCGGCGAAAGCCGGAUUCAGACCGCAUACGGCCUGAGGGUGAACGCGGGGUAUCUUCGGACCUCGCGCUAUUGGAGCGGCCGAUGGCAGAGUAGCUAGUUGGUGGGGUAAAGGCCUACCAAGGCGACGAUCUGUAGCUGGUCUGAGAGGACGACCUGCCACACUGGGACUGAGACACGGCCCAGACUACUACGGGAGGCAGCAGUGGGGAAGUUUGGACAAUGGGCGAAAGCCUGAUCCAGCAAUGCCGCGUGUGUGAUGAAGGCCUUCGGGUUGUAAAGCACUUUUGGCGGGAACGAAAAGGACUGUGCCAAUACCACGGUUCGAGGACGGUACCCGCAGAAUAAGCACCGGCUAACUACGUG
Molecule: ribosomal RNA, 484 nt
Filed under: uncultured bacterium
Lineage: Bacteria
Description: partial 16S ribosomal RNA
Rfam family: Bacterial small subunit ribosomal RNA
Source: RNAcentral